Molecule: ribosomal RNA, 252 nt
Filed under: uncultured bacterium
Lineage: Bacteria
Description: partial 16S ribosomal RNA
Rfam family: Bacterial small subunit ribosomal RNA
Source: RNAcentral
UACGUAGGGUGCAAGCGUUAAUCGGAAUUACUGGGCGUAAAGCGUGCGCAGGCGGUUGUGUAAGACAGAUGUGAAAUCCCGGGCUCAACCUGGGAACUGCAUUUGUGACUGCACAGCUGGAGUGCGGCAGAGGGGGAUGGAAUUCCGCGUGUAGCAGUGAAAUGCGUAGAUAUGCGGAGGAACACCGAUGGCGAAGGCAAUCCCCUGGGCCUGCACUGACGCUCAUGCACGAAAGCGUGGGGAGCAAACAGG